UACGUAGGGUGCGAGCGUUGUCCGGAAUUAUUGGGCGUAAAGGGCUCGUAGGCGGUCUGUCGCGUCGGUAGUGAAAACUCAGGGCUUAACCCUGAGCCUGCUUCCGAUACGGGCAGACUAGAGGUAGGCAGGGGAGAGCGGAACUCCUGGUGUAGCGGUGGAAUGCGCAGAUAUCAGGAAGAACACCGGUGGCGAAGGCGGCUCUCUGGGCCUUACCUGACGCUGAGGAGCGAAAGCGUGGGUAGCGAACAGG
Molecule: ribosomal RNA, 253 nt
Filed under: uncultured bacterium
Lineage: Bacteria
Description: partial 16S ribosomal RNA
Rfam family: Bacterial small subunit ribosomal RNA
Source: RNAcentral